GACGAACGCUGGCGGCAGGCUUAACACAUGCAAGUCGAGCGCCGUAGCAAUACGGAGCGGCAGACGGGUGAGUAACGCGUGGGAACGUGCCUUUUCGUUCGGAACAACUCAGGGAAACUUGAGCUAAAACCGGAUACGCCCCGAGGGGGAAAGGUUUAUCACCAAAAGAUCGGCCCGCGUCGGAUUGGGUAGUUGGAGGGGUAACGGCCCACCAAGCCGAUGAUCUGUAGCUGGUCGGAGAGGACGAUCAGCCACACUGGGACUGAGACACGGCCCAGACUCCUACGGGAGGCAGCAGGGGGGAAUAUUGGACAAUGGGCGCAAGCCUGAUCCAGCCAUGCCGCGUGGAUGAAGAAGGCCCUAGGGUUGUAAAGUCCUUUCGGCGGGGACGAUAAUGACGGUACCCGCAGAAGAAGCCCCGGCUAAUUUCGUGCCAGCAGCCGCCGUAA
This 449-nucleotide ribosomal RNA is filed under the name uncultured bacterium. Its description in RNAcentral is "partial 16S ribosomal RNA". It matches the Rfam family "Bacterial small subunit ribosomal RNA", at positions 28 to 523 of the family's 1533-position model. The record is from RNAcentral.